UCCCAGCCACCCCUCUCCCUUCUCCCAAAGUCUUUGCUCACUGGGGAGGGUGUCUGGACUUCCUCAUCCUCACCCCUGUGGCCCUUGCCCCAGAGGCCACUGAGGGUCCCAGGUCCCUGGGAUAGCCCAUGAGGUAGACUGCAUCAACCUCAUUUUAUAGAUAAUGAAACUGAUGUUCAGGGAGACCAGGUCACUUGUUCGAGGUCCCCUGGUGGGAUGGGGACCCGUGCUGGCUGCGUCAACCACACCGCCAGUGACAGCACGGCAGGUGCUCCGGCGGCGCUUGUGAACUUGUCAAUGAUGACGCCGAUGAAGAGGUUGAGGGUGAAGAAGGAUCCGAAGAUGAUGAAGAUGACGAAGUAGAGCCACACCUCAGCGACCCCGACUCACCUCCCGCGAGUCCACGGCUGCAUACAUGAUGUCCAUCCAACCCUUGAACGUGGCCUGAGAGAGUGUGGUUGGGCUGUGAGGGGAGGGGCUGCUCCCUGCUUCCAUCAUCCAUGAGUUUCCUUCCCCUGCCCAGCCUGGUCCUCCCUGGAGGUCUCCCCUAGAGAUCAGAGAGGUCUAGACACUGCCUCAGGGUCCCACAGCAUUGGAGCAGGGUGGCUGUUCCCCUGACAAGGAGUGACAGGGGGCUCAGGUACCAUGAGGAGGGACUGUGGGCACCUCCGUCCCGGUUCCCAGCAGGGGCAGCGGGUCACACUCACCACCUGCAGGAGGGAGAGGUAGCCCAGACCCACGUUGUCAUAGUUGACCUUGACGUUGAGCCAGCGGACCUGGCCCGUGUGCAUGAGGCUCUCGCACUCGGACUUGUUGUUGACCUCGGAGAUGUCAAACCGCUCGGAGGUGGUGGUGUUCAUGCAGUAGUAGAACUUGCCGGCAAACAAGUUCACACCCAUGAUGCUGAAGAUGAGCCAGAAGAUGAGGCAGACGAGCAGCACGUUCAUGAUGGAGGGGAUGGCGCCCAGGAGGGCGUUCACCACCACCUGGGGGCGGGGGGGUCAUUGCCAGAGCCUCUCCCCACCUCGGAGGGAGGGCUCCCCACCUGCACCCUGCCCGGGGGGCCAGGCAGAGUCGGCACUGUCAUGCAGGGAGGGCUUCCUGGAGGAGGGCCAAUCUGAGCCAGGCCCAGAGGGCAGAAGCCCUGUGCCCGGCUGCGCGUGGAGGGAGGGGAGCUGCGGGCCUGGCGGUCUGGAGGGCUCUCUGCUUGGCUGGAGCCAUCAGCCCAGAGUGGGCGCGCUGGGCUUCUCUGGAAGCAGCCUGGUCACGGGUCACCAGGCAGGAGACAAACACUCUCUCCUCGGCCCCCAUAGGAAAUUCAUCCCAUGUGACCCGUGCCCGCUCAUGAGCUCACAGCACCAGAGAUACAGGGACAGACAAGGCACACAAAAGAGGCCACCGGGGUCUUCAAAGCAGCAGGACCCCGGCACCAGAGCCCUGUGCCCCCAGCCCCGGGCACACAGGCCCACCUCACUACUGCAGUCUGGGUUGAACCUGAGCCAGUUCACGACCUCCAGACAGUGGGUGGCACAGCCUGGUGGUACCCAGGGGAGCUCUAUUCCUGGUUGGGGCACCUGCCAGCUGUGUGGCCAUGGGCAGGGGAGGGGUCCCUGACUCUGGGGGUCCGAGGGCCCAGCACCUGACUGGCCCUGGUAUCAACAGGAGGGGGCUGCGGGGCAGAGCUCGCUGCCAACCUGCCCAUUCCCAGGGGUUUGUCCCUCGGGAGUGGGUCUUGUUCCAGCAAACCUCCCUUCCGGGGAAGUCCCACUUGUCUUGCCCAGGCCCUGUGUUUACCUGUCACUUCCACUCUCAAGGGCCUGAAGGGACCCUCUCCAAACUGACAAGUGCAUGACCCUGACCAUGACCCCAAGCUGAGGUGGGUGGCAGGUGGGCUCAGAGCCAGGGUGCAAACAUCUACCCACUUGCUUAUUUAUUUUCAGAGCCCUGGCGGGCCUCCCAGCCUGAGGUUGGGGAGGGACACCCAUAAAGCCACCCCUAAACCACCCCUAAACACCACACAUACCAGCGUGGGGCUCUUCGCCCUCCUAGGAGCUGCCGCAGCCUCUGCUGCCCCCCUGCGGUGCAGAGAUGAGCUGAGGGCAGGAGUGUGGCAGGCAGGGGGUGGGAGGUGGUGGCUGGAGUGCAGACAUGCACCCGCCACCCUGCCCUGUGGCUGCUGCCCCAGCCCGAGCCCGCCCCAGAC
Lemur catta (Ring-tailed lemur) is the source of this 2203-nucleotide long non-coding RNA. RefSeq lists it as uncharacterized. Lineage: Eukaryota; Metazoa; Chordata; Mammalia; Primates; Lemuridae. The record is from RefSeq and is a predicted model, not a curated record. The transcript is spliced from 4 exons.